Molecule: ribosomal RNA, 953 nt
Filed under: Sarcocystis hirsuta
Lineage: Eukaryota; Apicomplexa; Conoidasida; Eucoccidiorida; Sarcocystidae
Description: SSU rRNA
Rfam family: Eukaryotic small subunit ribosomal RNA
Source: RNAcentral
CGUGGUAAUUCUAUGGCUAAUACAUGCGCAAAUACUAUAUUAUGUCACUUAACGGUGGAUGAUAAUAUAGUAGUGUUUAUUAGAUACAGAACCAAUACACCUCCUGUAAAGGGGUGUAGAAAAAGGUGAUUCAUAGUAACCGAACGGAUCGCAUAUAAUAUAAUCAUUUCGAUGAUUAUUGGCGAUAGAUCAUUCAAGUUUCUGACCUAUCAGCUUUCGACGGUAGUGUAUUGGACUACCGUGGCAGUGACGGGUAACGGGGAAUUAGGGUUCGAUUCCGGAGAGGGAGCCUGAGAAACGGCUACCACAUCUAAGGAAGGCAGCAGGCGCGCAAAUUACCCAAUCCUGACUCAGGGAGGUAGUGACAAGAAAUAACAACACUGGAAAUUCAAUUUCUAGUGAUUGGAAUGAUGGGAAUCCAAACCCCUUUCAGAGUAACAAUUGGAGGGCAAGUCUGGUGCCAGCAGCCGCGGUAAUUCCAGCUCCAAUAGCGUAUAUUAAAGUUGUUGCAGUUAAAAAGCUCGUAGUUGGAUAUCUGCUGGAAGCAAUCAGUCCGCCCUUCUAAUGAGGGUGUGUACUUGAUGAAUUCUGGCAUGAUCAUCAUCCUAAUAAUAAUAUUAUAUUAGGUUGAUUCCUAAUAUAAUGAUUACUAUUUGGAUGUGACAGUUACUUUGAGAAAAUUAGAGUGUUUGAAGCAGGCUUAUUGUUGCCUUGAAUACUGCAGCAUGGAAUAACAAUAUAGGACUUCGGUUCUAUUUUGUUGGUUCUUAGGACUGAAAUAAUGAUUAAUAGGGACAGUUGGGGGCAUUCGUAUUUAACUGUCAGAGGUGAAAUUCUUAGAUUUGUUAAAGACGAACUACUGCGAAAGCAUUUGCCAAAGACGUUUUCAUUAAUCAAGAACGAAAGUUAGGGGCUCGAAGACGAUCAGAUACCGUCGUAGUCUUAACCAUAAA